This is a long non-coding RNA of Rosa chinensis, 744 nucleotides long. RefSeq lists it as uncharacterized. The transcript is spliced from 2 exons. NCBI's taxonomy places the organism in Eukaryota, Viridiplantae, Streptophyta, Magnoliopsida, Rosales, Rosaceae. The record is from RefSeq and is a predicted model, not a curated record.
UCUUCGUCUCAAGGCUUUAUCAUUCAUCUUUCAAGGUGUACCCUCAAUCCCCGGAAUAGAACGAUCCCUAUUUGCUUAUACUACUAACGAUAUUUCAGGGUUAAAUUGCGCGCUUGCUUUGAGCGCGUCAUAUGCGUUGGUCGUUUCCGGUUGCGAACCACCCAUACUUCAGCCGGCCUCACCUCGGCCUGAUCUGACACGGCCAUUCUUCCACCCAAUCACCAUUGCGUCUGAUCGUACUAGAGCACUGAUCCAUAACUGUCACAUCACCUAUUUCCUUCCUGCAAGAGAUGAUGAGUAACCUAGGACAAGGUUGUGUGGUCGCCGCACAAGGUCGGCUUCUGAGUGUCAUCAUGAGAUAACGUAGAGGGGAGGCUGAUACCGGCCGCCAUAACUGAGGGCUAGGGUUUAGGUUUCGCCAGAGCCCCAUUCAUUUAGUACAUGCUGUAUUAAUGCUGGUUACUUUGUGAUAUGACUUGGAGAGACAGAGAGAUCAACUAUAUGUAGAUAGAUAAGUAAAUAGUUUUAAGCUAUACUUACACAGAGGUCGGGUAUUGUUCUAUUCUUUUUUGUUUUUGUUAAAGAAGUGAGAAUAGUGGAUAAACCUGUGAUCUUACACUCAUCCAUAAUAACGUUUCCUUUCCGAUCAGAAUGUCAGAACCAAUGAUUCGCAUAAGAGCUAUUGAGACUAUUUGAAAAAUCAUCAUUAAUGGAGACACAAUUCACUGCUUCAGAGCCUCCAAA